UUAGACGGUAGGGUAUUGGCCUACCGUGGCUAUGACGGGUAACGGGGAAUUAGGGUUCGAUUCCGGAGAGGGAGCCUGAGAAACGGCUACCACAUCUAAGGAAGGCAGCAGGCGCGCAAAUUACCCAAUCCUAAUACAGGGAGGUAGUGACAAGAAAUAACAAUACAGAGCCUUACGGUUUUGUAAUUGGAAUGAGUUAAGUAUAAACCCCUUAACAAGUAUCAAUUGGAGGGCAAGUCUGGUGCCAGCAGCCGCGGUAAUUCCAGCUCCAAUAGCGUAUAUUAAAGUUGUUGCAGUUAAAAAGCUCGUAGUUAAUUUUCUGUUAAUUUUUAUAUACAAUGCUACGGUAUUUAUAUAAUAUUAACAUAAUUCAUAUUACUUUUUAAGUAUAUGAAACUUUACUUUGAGAAAAUUAGAGUGCUUAAAGCAGGCUAUUGCCUUGAAUACUCCAGCAUGGAAUAAUAUUAAGGAUUUUUAUUCUUCUUAUUGGUUCUAGAAUAAAAAUAAUGAUUAAUAGGGACA
Molecule: ribosomal RNA, 522 nt
Filed under: Cryptosporidium ryanae
Lineage: Eukaryota; Apicomplexa; Conoidasida; Eucoccidiorida; Cryptosporidiidae
Description: SSU rRNA
Rfam family: Eukaryotic small subunit ribosomal RNA
Source: RNAcentral